UUUGAAAUCUGGCGCAAGCCCGAGUUGUAAUUUGUAGAGGAUGCUUCUGGGUAGCGACCGAUCUAAGUUCCUUGGAACAGGACGUCAUAGAGGGUGAGAAUCCCGUAUGUGACCGGCCCGCACCCUUUACGUAGCUCCUUCGACGAGUCGAGUUGUUUGGGAAUGCAGCUCUAAAUGGGAGGUAAAUUUCUUCUAAAGCUAAAUACCGGCCAGAGACCGAUAGCGCACAAGUAGAGUGAUCGAAAGAUGAAAAGUACUUUGGAAAGAGAGUUAAAAAGCACGUGAAAUUGUUGAAAGGGAAGCGCCUGCAACCAGACUUCGUGGCAGUGUUCCGCCGGUCUUCUGACCGGUUCAUUCUCUGUCGCGAGGCCAUCAUCGUCUGGGCCCGCCGGAUAAGACCUGAGGAAUGUGGCUCCCCCUCGGGGGAGUGUUAUAGCCUCUGGUGAUGCGGCGAGGCUCGGGCGAGGUCCGCGCUUCGGCAAGGAUGAUGGCGUAAUGGUUGUCGGCGGCCCGUCUUGAAACACGGACCAAGGAGUCUAACAUCUAUGCGAGUGUUCGGGUGUCAAACCCCUACGCGUAAUGAAAGUGAACGGAGGUGGGAACCGCAAGGUGCACCAUCGACCGAUCCUGAUGUCCUCGGAUGGAUUUGAGUAAGAGCAUAGCUGUUGGGACCCGAAAGAUGGUGAACUAUGCCUGAAUAGGGUGAAGCCAGAGGAAACUCUGGUGG
This 727-nucleotide ribosomal RNA is filed under the name Cercospora sorghicola. Its description in RNAcentral is "eukaryotic LSU rRNA". It matches the Rfam family "Eukaryotic large subunit ribosomal RNA", at positions 114 to 870 of the family's 3401-position model. Lineage: Eukaryota; Fungi; Ascomycota; Dothideomycetes; Mycosphaerellales; Mycosphaerellaceae. The record is from RNAcentral.